GGCAACCCUGACGGAGCAACGCCGCGUGGGGGAGGAAUGUCUGUGGAUUGUAAACCCCUUUUCUCAGGGAAGAAGUCUGACGGUACCUGAGGAAUCAGCAUCGGCUAACUCCGUGCCAGCAGCCGCGGUAAGACGGAGGAUGCAAGCGUUAUCCGGAAUUAUUGGGCGUAAAGCGUCCGUAGGCGGUUUAUCAAGUCUGCCGUUAAAGACUGCAGCUUAACUGUGGGCGAGCGGUGGAAACUGAUGAACUAGAGUACGGUAGGGGUAGAGGGAAUUCCCAGUGUAGCGGUGAAAUGCGUAGAUAUUGGGAAGAACACCAGUGGCGAAAGCGCUCGACUGGGCCUGCACUGACACUGAGGGGCGAAAGCUAGGGGAGCG
This 378-nucleotide ribosomal RNA is filed under the name uncultured cyanobacterium. Its description in RNAcentral is "bacterial SSU rRNA". It matches the Rfam family "Bacterial small subunit ribosomal RNA", at positions 376 to 770 of the family's 1533-position model. Lineage: Bacteria; Bacillati; Cyanobacteriota. The record is from RNAcentral.